Molecule: unclassified non-coding RNA, 1385 nt
Filed under: Habropoda laboriosa
Lineage: Eukaryota; Metazoa; Arthropoda; Insecta; Hymenoptera; Apidae
Description: rNA-binding protein lark, transcript variant X5
Source: RNAcentral
CAUUUUUUUACAUCGGGAGGCGUACUGUUUGGCGUAGUGUUUUAUCGGAUUGUUUUACGGAAAUACUGACUUGGUUCUAGAACGAGCCGAAAAUGCCGGGUUUUAGUAGCGUUGGCACAUUCAAAAUUUUCAUCGGUAAUUUAGCUGACAAGACGUCGAAUGCCGAUAUUAAACCGUUAUUUGAGAAAUACGGAAAGGUUGUAGAAUGCGACGUGGUCAAAAAUUAUGGAUUUGUGCAUAUGGAGAAUGAAGAAGCAGGGAGAAACGCGAUACAAAAUUUGAAUGGACAUAUAGUUCAUGGACAGCCGAUUAAAUGCGAAGCUGCAAAGAGUCGUAAGGGACCUAACACACCUACGACGAAAAUAUUCGUUGGCAAUCUCACAGAUAAUACGAAAGCGCCUCAAGUGCGCGAACUGUUCGCCAAGUAUGGCACCGUUGUAGAAUGCGAUAUCGUGAGAAAUUACGGAUUCGUCCAUCUAGAAGCAACAGGUGAUGUGAAUGAUGCCAUCAAGGAGCUGAAUGGACAAAUGGUGGAUGGUCAGCCGAUGAAGGUUCAAAUUUCUACGAGCAGAGUGCGACAAAGGCCGGGAAUGGGAGAUCCUGAACAGUGCUAUCGUUGCGGUCGCGGCGGCCAUUGGUCCAAGGAAUGCCCGAAAGGAGGAAUGGGAGGAGGACCAGAUAGGAACGGAUACAGAGACCGAAUGUUUGGACGCGACCCGUAUCCUCCACCGCCGCCACCACCGUUCCUUCGGGACCGGCUAAUGGGUGGUGGCCGCUUUGGAGAUUACGAAAGCUACUAUGACAGGAGAGGCUUCGAGGACACCAGGGACCUCUACGAGAGGCGGUUUACGGGUAUGACAGGGCCCUGUGACAUGGGAAGUUCCAUGUGCGGGCUUGACUUUCCACCAAUGACAAUGCCACCUCUACCCCCAAGACGAGACCCAAUGCCUCCUAUGCCUCCUCUAGGUAUGGGAUCCAUGCGCGACACUGGCUUCUCCCGUGGUAACGAGUAUGGCAUGUUCAGCCGCCGAUCACCCCCUCCGAGUGGCAACAACGGCCGGUUCAGUGCACCUCAGGCUGCGUACCAUCUUUGUCCAUGAAUGCGGACAACCCUAGAGAGACAGUCCCGGGCCAGCGUUCAAGUCGUGCAAGAACCGGGAUUACGAGGGCCAUCGCCGUCGCGCCGGUUCGCACCAUACUAAAUCGUCGCGUCGGGCUCGGAUCGGUCUCUGUCGGUCUGUCUGUCUCUCUGUGUCGGGUCUCUGUGUCUGUCGCUAGCAGGAAGCCUCGGGACCGAGAUACUCUUGGCCGUCUGUCGAUCUGCACGCGCGAAGAUCUACUCUCCCCGCAAUGCGCUAUUUAGACGAGAACCGGAACCGGAACGG